RNAcentral lists this ribosomal RNA (429 nucleotides) under uncultured bacterium. RNAcentral describes it as "bacterial SSU rRNA". It matches the Rfam family "Bacterial small subunit ribosomal RNA", at positions 355 to 776 of the family's 1533-position model. The record is from RNAcentral.
UGGGGAAUAUUGCGCAAUGGGCGAAAGCCUGACGCAGCAACGCCGCGUGUGUGAUGAAGGCCUUCGGGUUGUAAAGCACUGUCAGCAGGGAAGAAGGUGCUGAAGAGUAACUACUUCAGUACUGACGGUACCUGCGAAGGAAGCACCGGCUAACUCCGUGCCAGCAGCCGCGGUAAUACGGAGGGUGCAAGCGUUGUUCGGAAUCAUUGGGCGUAAAGGGCGCGUAGGCGGCUCGUCAAGUCAGGUGUGAAAGCCCGCGGCUCAACUGCGGAACUGCGCCUGAUACUGGCAGGCUCGAGUACGGGAGAGGGUAGCGGAAUUCCGAGUGUAGAGGUGAAAUUCGUAGAUAUUCGGAGGAACACCAGUGGCGAAGGCGGCUACCUGGACCGAUACUGACGCUGAGGCGCGAAAGCGUGGGGAGCAAACAGG